Magnolia sinica is the source of this 1490-nucleotide long non-coding RNA. RefSeq lists it as uncharacterized. The transcript is spliced from 4 exons. The record is from RefSeq and is a predicted model, not a curated record. NCBI's taxonomy places the organism in Eukaryota, Viridiplantae, Streptophyta, Magnoliopsida, Magnoliales, Magnoliaceae.
GAACUCGAUUUCAUAAACCUAAAACCUUAACCUAUUCUCAAUUUCCUAUAGCUAUAACCUAUAACCUAAACCUAAACCAUAACCUUAACCUAAACCUUAUCCUAAACCUAAACCUAAACCUUAACCUUAACCUUAACCUUAACCUUAACCUAAACCUAAACCUAAACCUUAACCUUAACCUUAACCUUAACCUAAACCUAAACCUAUACUUAUGAAUUCUAAUUUAUUUUAUAAAAGUUCAUUUACGACUAAGUUAUUUUCUUAAUAAGUUUAUUGCCUUAAUCUAUUAUUUAUGAAACUGCAGGAUAAAUUUCACUUAGAUUUGAGUGUUCCGCACAUCUCCUAUGCCGUCGACGACAUGAUGAAGGAGCGGUUCAAGGCUUACUGCGGUAAGUUAUACCAGUAGUACAAGCGGUCCGUGAGCCACGAGGAGCCCGCACAGUCCGCACCGCCUCACGUGACCCAUGAGGACUGGCGGAUACUCUGUGAUAGGUUUUCUUCUGAUUUUUUUCAGAAGAGGAGCAAAAUAAAUUUCGAUAACAGGAGAAAGUUAGAAGUGAACCACGUAGCUGGUUCAAAGUCAUUUGUACGACUUCAUUACGAUAUGCAAGAUUCCGUCACUGGCCAGGAGCUCGGUCCAAUAGACUUCUACAAAGGGACUCACUGUCGGCAGGCGAGUGGAUCUUGGAUACAUCCUAGAGCCAGCGAGAUUUGGGAGGAGAUGGACACCUUACGUAGUCAGCCCACUCCCGAUGGUGCUCAGCAGAGUGGCUAGAGAUCCUGAGUCAGGUGCUUGGCACCCGUUCUGGAUAUGUGUGUGGGCUUGGCCAUGGUGCCAAGCUCAUGACACCCGCUAGAGCUGCCUCCAGUCGAUCCAUCGUCGUUGGCGACAGCGUCACACGCUAAGCUGAUACCUUAGAGAGAGGGGUUCAACAGCUACGGGUUGUCGUCGAUGACAUCAGAGAUCAGCUGGACAGGUAGAGGGAGGAGCAAGAGAGGAAGAUGAUGGAGGAGCUGGCGAGGCAGAGGGAGGAACAGGAGAGGAAGAUGGAGGAUCAGCUGGCGAGGCAGAGGGAGGAGCAGGAGAGGAAGAUGGAGGAGAUGCGGGUGGAGCAUGAGCGACGGAUGAUGAAGAUGUUUCAAGAUUUCGCUGCACUCUUACCCACUGAUGCCCCACCACCUUCGCCUUCAUCUUUAUGAUUUUUUCUUUUUUAUUUAUGAUGUUAAACUUAUAUGUAUUUAUGCGUAAAUGAAUAUGAUGCGUAUAAGAUUGUUUGUGUUUGGAUGUAUGUAGUUUAUGUUUGGAUGGAUUUACUAGUUUGGGUUAGAUGGAUCUGAAUGUGAAGAUGAUGAAAUUUAACAGGUGUAUUAUGAUAUAAUAGGUGUACAUCAGGAAAAAUAUGAUACAUAACAGGUGUAUAUUAGGAUGUGAAUAUGAAUAUGAUGAUAUAACAGGUAUAUCAGGAUGAAUAUGAUGAAAUAUAUUGCAA